Molecule: RNA transcript, 1055 nt
Organism: Triticum dicoccoides
Lineage: Eukaryota; Viridiplantae; Streptophyta; Magnoliopsida; Poales; Poaceae
Exons: 3
Source: RefSeq, a predicted model, not a curated record
UAAUUUUUCAUGACUGACCAUACUCCACCAGGAGAGAAGUACUCGAACUACUAUCCCUACAAUCACGGAUCGGGAGUCGCCCACCACGGCCGACGCUGCCGCGCCCAACCUCCACCGCGGCCGACUGCCUCCACGCGAAUUCCCUUGCGAGGCUCUCUGGCGACCACACCGCCUACUCCAGAGGCGAGGAGCUUGCCGGCGUCCAGCUCCUCAAGGAGAAGCGCGCUCCACCGCCGACGCUGCCGCGCCCAAAUCCCACCGCGGCCGACCGCCUCCGCUCUCUCGAUGGGGAUCCGCUGCGGCAGUGCCAGGACGUUCACCAUCGCCACCGCAGUCUGUUCACCGCGGACGCCACAUGCCUGCACCCCACGGCCGGCCACCGCGCGUCUGGAGCGCGCUCUUCCGCCUAUUCCCAGUGUGUCGCCGCCGGCCCCGAGCGCGCCGCUGAUGGCCUUCGGUGCUAUCGCAGGCACCAAGACCGUCGCUGUGCUGGUAAGUCCUCUCCCCCAGCUGGCGUAGCGCCCGGUUCUACUAUCUCUCUUCCAUGUCGUUGCAACACGGUCUCUCCUCUGUCGUUGCUGCUGCCGCCACCGUGUUUCUCCUUCCUGCUUCUGCCACUGUCGCUGGAGCUAGCCAAAAUGGAUCAAACAUAGGUGCAUAUUUCGUGAGAAAAUCCCGACGUCCAGCUCUUCAAGGAGAGGAGCCUGCCACCGCCGACGCUGGCAUUGCCAUGGGUGCCCAUCCUUGCUGUCCGAUGGAACCGCUCAGACGGUCAUACCGCGGUCGUCGUCAGAAUCAUCCGAGUUGAUUUAACCAAUUUUUGAAUCCUCGCUGAAUAAGCAGGAAGUUGUAUUUGGAAGCUUUCUUGGACUUAUAUCGUAAUCAUGGUAUAUGGCUUGAUUGUCUCAUGUGGUGCUUGCAUGGUAUGUGUGUGAUGAUUUUCCUGAAAGGCAGAAGUUUUAUCAUGCUAUGUUCUUUCAACUUAUGUGUAACAUUUUGGUUUUCUUAUGGACUCAAAUCUGAUAUACUAGACCCAAACCUUUAUCCUUCUUCCA